RNAcentral lists this ribosomal RNA (497 nucleotides) under uncultured bacterium. RNAcentral's name for it is "partial 16S ribosomal RNA". It matches the Rfam family "Bacterial small subunit ribosomal RNA", at positions 28 to 507 of the family's 1533-position model. The record is from RNAcentral.
GAUGAACGCUGGCGGCGUGCCUAGUACAUGCAAGUCGAGCGAACAGACGAGGAGCUUGCUCCUCUGACGUUAGCGGCGGACGGGUGAGUAACACGUGGAUAACCUACCUAUAAGACUGGGAUAACUUCGGGAAACCGGGGCUAAUACCGGAUAAUAUAUUGAACCGCAUGGUUCAAUAGUUAAAGACGGUUUUGCUGUCACUUAUAGAUGGAUCCGCGCCGCAUUAGCUAGUUGGUAAGGUAACGGCUUACCAAGGCGACGAUGCGUAGCCGACCUGAGAGGGUGAUCGGCCACACUGGAACUGAGACACGGUCCAGACUCCUACGGGAGGCAGCAGUAGGGAAUCUUCCGCAAUGGGCGAAAGCCUGACGGAGCAACGCCGCGUGAGUGAUGAAGGUCUUCGGAUCGUAAAACUCUGUUAUUAGGGAAGAACAAAUGUGUAAGUAACUAUGCACGUCUUGACGGUACCUAAUCAGAAAGCCACGGCUAACUACGUG